AACGAACGCUGGCGGUGUGCCUCAUACAUGCAAGUCGUACGCGAAUCCUGCCGCAAGGCAGGGUUUGAGUGGCAAACGGGUGCGUAACACGUAGGUAAUCUUCCUUUGAGUUGGGGAUAAGCCCUCGAAAGGGGGUCGUAAUACCGAAUAACACUUCGGGCCGGCAUCGGCCCGAAAUUAAAGAUGGCCUCUGCUUGCAAGCUAUCGCUCGGAGAUGAGCCUGCGGCCGANAGUUAGUUGGCGGGAUAAAAGCCCACCAAGACUUCGAUCGGUAGCCGGUCUGAGAGGAUGUCCGGCCACACUGGGACUGAGAUACGGCCCAGACUCCUACGGGAGGCAGCAGUAGGGAAUAUUGCGCAAUGGCCGCAAGGCUGACGCAGCAACACCGCGUGGGGGA
RNAcentral lists this ribosomal RNA (397 nucleotides) under uncultured bacterium. RNAcentral describes it as "bacterial SSU rRNA". It matches the Rfam family "Bacterial small subunit ribosomal RNA", at positions 29 to 408 of the family's 1533-position model. The record is from RNAcentral.